Molecule: ribosomal RNA, 514 nt
Filed under: uncultured Saccharomyces
Lineage: Eukaryota; Fungi; Ascomycota; Saccharomycetes; Saccharomycetales; Saccharomycetaceae
Description: eukaryotic LSU rRNA
Rfam family: Eukaryotic large subunit ribosomal RNA
Source: RNAcentral
AAACCAACAGGGAUUGCCUCAGUAACGGCGAGUGAAGCGGCAAAAGCUCAAAUUUGAAAUCUGGUACCUUCGGUGCCCGAGUUGUAAUUUGGAGAGGGCAACUUUGGGGCCGUUCCUUGUCUAUGUUCCUUGGAACAGGACGUCAUAGAGGGUGAGAAUCCCGUGUGGCGAGGAGUGCGGUUCUUUGUAAAGUGCCUUCGAAGAGUCGAGUUGUUUGGGAAUGCAGCUCUAAGUGGGUGGUAAAUUCCAUCUAAAGCUAAAUAUUGGCGAGAGACCGAUAGCGAACAAGUACAGUGAUGGAAAGAUGAAAAGAACUUUGAAAAGAGAGUGAAAAAGUACGUGAAAUUGUUGAAAGGGAAGGGCAUUUGAUCAGACAUGGUGUUUUGUGCCCUCUGCUCCUUGUGGGUAGGGGAAUCUCGCAUUUCACUGGGCCAGCAUCAGUUUUUGGUGGCAGGAUAAAUCCAUAGGAAUGUAGCUUGCCUCGGUAAGUAUUAUAGCCUGUGGGAAUACUGCC